AGAGCGAACGCUGGCGGCAGGCCUAACACAUGCAAGUCGAGCGCGUGUAGCAAUACACGAGCGGCAGACGGGAGAGUAACACGUGGGAACGCGCCCUUCGGUUCGGAAUAACUCAGGGAAACUUGAGCUAAUACCGGAUACGCCCUUACGGGGAAAGAUUUAUUGCCGAAGGAACGGCCCGCGUCCGAUUAGCUAGUUGGUGAGGUAACGGCUCACCAAGGCGACGAUCGGUAGCUGGUCUGAGAGGAUGACCAGCCUCACUGGGACUGAGACACGGCCCAGACUCCUACGGGAGGCAGCAGUGGGAAUAUUGGACAAUGGGCGCAAGCCUGAUCCAGCCAUGCCGCGUGGAUGAUGAAGGCCUUAGGGUUGUAAAGUCCUUUUAACGGGGAAGAUAAUGACGGUACCCGUAGAAUAAGCCCCGGCUAACUUCGCGCCAGCAGCCGC
RNAcentral lists this ribosomal RNA (447 nucleotides) under uncultured bacterium. RNAcentral describes it as "SSU rRNA". It matches the Rfam family "Bacterial small subunit ribosomal RNA", at positions 26 to 518 of the family's 1533-position model. The record is from RNAcentral.